This is a non-coding RNA of Nicotiana tabacum (common tobacco), 688 nucleotides long. NCBI's taxonomy places the organism in Eukaryota, Viridiplantae, Streptophyta, Magnoliopsida, Solanales, Solanaceae. The record is from RefSeq and is a predicted model, not a curated record.
GGUAUAGUAGUUGUGACUUAUUCACACUAUAUACAUUUGGCUUCCGCAACACUCUCUAUACAAUGUCUGAUUAUAUUUAUUCACUCAUAGAAGUAAAUAUAAAUCUGUCCCUUUUCUGCAGGUGAAUUCGCUCGAGUUGGUGCAAGGAUUUUGACAACAGUAUGAUCAGUUACUUUGCUCUAUCUUGAGAAUGAUUUGGCAACGAUACAAUGUCAUUUCACUAUGGAAGGUUCUUUUAGUCUAUUACUUUCCUCUCUUUCUGAGAUGUUGUCGACAAUUCUCCGAGUAUCCAAUCCCUUCCGGUCCACUUCUCAAAGGGGGAAUACUGGCUAGAAAUUGCUCAAAUUUCCAGCAUACGGAUUGAAUGUAACUUGUUCUCUCCAUCAGUAGCCGUUUUUCAAGUUUUUACUACUUAGCUUUGCUUGUGUGUUAAUUCCUUUUAUUCGAUGUAUCUUGUUGAGCAGUAUGUAGCGUCUAUUUGCACUGUGAAGACGAGGAAGCUCUUUGCCCGAAGUGAAACUUAAGUGAGUUGAGUAAUGCAUCUUCAUAAAAGGAUGAAAGCUGACAAAAAAAGGUAUGUCAUCUACAGAAAUAGGCUGGAAUUAAUAAUUUUAUCUAGGAAGUUCAAAGCAAAAUGUAAUUUUAACAAACUAGAAACCUUUUUACCAUUAGCAUACGUAGAUAUGUU